UACAGAGGGGGCAAGCGUUGUUCGGAAUUACUGGGCGUAAAGGGCGCGUAGGCGGCCCGCUAAGUCGAACGUGAAAUCCCUGGGCUCAACCCAGGAACUGCGUCCGAUACUGAGGAUCUCGAGUCCGGGAGAGGUGAGUGGAACUCCGAGUGUAGAGGUGAAAUUCGUAGAUAUUCGGAAGAACACCAGUGGCGAAGGCGGCUCACUGGCCCGGUACUGACGCUGAGGUGCGAAAGCGUGGGGAGCAAACAGG
RNAcentral lists this ribosomal RNA (253 nucleotides) under uncultured bacterium. Its description in RNAcentral is "partial 16S ribosomal RNA". It matches the Rfam family "Bacterial small subunit ribosomal RNA", at positions 524 to 776 of the family's 1533-position model. The record is from RNAcentral.